This 159-nucleotide transfer RNA is filed under the name Methanospirillum hungatei JF-1. The stretch from base 56 to 111 matches the Rfam family "Small nucleolar RNA sR3". The record is from Rfam by way of RNAcentral. Lineage: Archaea; Methanobacteriati; Methanobacteriota; Methanomicrobia; Methanomicrobiales; Methanospirillaceae.
GGGGUCGUGGCCUAGUCCGGCAUGGCGACGGGCUCCAGCGGUCUUUGCAUCCGGUGCAGAUGAUGACAAAUGGGUCUUCUGAUUUGGUGAUGAUCCGUUGGAGCACUGAUGCAUAUCGGAGAGACCCGUCGAUCGUGAGUUCAAAUCUCACCGACCCCA